CAAGAGCCUGGAUGCCAAGCCUAUCCUCUCCAUGUGAAGCACCAACUUGGGGGUGUCAACUUAAAAUAUGAGACCCAUAAACUUGGAAAGGAGGACUUUAUUUCUUGAGGAGGGUUGCAAACUGCAGGCUCUGGAAAGUGACACCUCCAGCAGAGACCACAAACAGUGGACCUUCUCAAACUGGGGUAUUGACCUCUGAUGAACCCCCAUCCAAACCUGUGCCUUUCAUCAUAAAAAGAAGCACUUUGAGGUGCUCAACUUCAAGCUUGCUAGAGAAGGAGGAAAAGCAGGUUGAGUUUGACAUAAUUAGAAUGGAUUCAGCCUUUCCAGCAGAACAGAGUCUCACUCUUAUCACCCAGGCUGGAGUGCAGUGGCAUGAUCUCAGCUCACUGC
Long non-coding RNA from Rhinopithecus roxellana (golden snub-nosed monkey), 393 nucleotides. RefSeq lists it as uncharacterized. NCBI's taxonomy places the organism in Eukaryota, Metazoa, Chordata, Mammalia, Primates, Cercopithecidae. The record is from RefSeq and is a predicted model, not a curated record. The transcript has 3 exons.